This 468-nucleotide ribosomal RNA is filed under the name uncultured bacterium. Its description in RNAcentral is "partial 16S ribosomal RNA". It matches the Rfam family "Bacterial small subunit ribosomal RNA", at positions 28 to 507 of the family's 1533-position model. The record is from RNAcentral.
GACGAACGCUGGCGGCGUGCUUAACACAUGCAAGUCGAACGGAAAGGCCCUGCUUUUGUGGGGUGCUCGAGUGGCGAACGGGUGAGUAACACGUGAGUAACCUGCCCUUGACUUUGGGAUAACUUCAGGAAACUGGGGCUAAUACCGGAUAGGAGCUCCUGCUGCAUGGUGGGGGUUGGAAAAUUUCGGCGGUUGGGGAUGGACUCGCGGCUUAUCAGCUUGUUGGUGGGGUAGUGGCUUACCAAGGCUUUGACGGGUAGCCGGCCUGAGAGGGUGACCGGCCACAUUGGGACUGAGAUACGGCCCAGACUCCUACGGGUGGCAGCAGUGGGGAAUAUUGCACAAUGGGCGGAAGCCUGAUGCAGCAACGCCGCGUGCGGGAUGACGGCCUUCGGGUUGUAAACCGCUUUCGCCUGUGUCGAAGCGUGAGUGACGGUAAUGGGUAAAGAAGCACCGGCUAACUACGUG